AUUUAUUGUUGUGAAUAAAAUUCAAGGACCUUAAACUACGUGAUGAGAGGAGCAGUGCCCUUGAGUUUCAGGGCUUUGUCCUUUACCUCCCGGGGCAGGAGAGACCAGAGCUUGUGGAUGCUGACCAUGGCCCAGUCGUCAUUUCUCUGCUCUCUGUCUUCGGCCGCACGAAACCUUAAUACAAGAAAAUUAUCUUCAUAAAAGAGAAAAAAAACUGAACUUCAUUAUUCUUUUAGUUAUGUAGUUUCUCAAACCACGUAUCUGAAGCAACCAACCAACGUAGCAAACACAAACAUUUAUGGAUGGAAUAACCGCAUUUAACUGCUUCAACAAGGUUUUGGCAAAAACUUCACUCUUCUUCGUUAAUGUUUUCUUCCUUUUGAAUAUUCUUUAUUGUCAUGACUGUGCUACCAUUUCUGAAAGUUUUCUGCAUUUUGAAAGUGUGUAAUCGCGAUCUCUUCUGUUCUUUGCUACCCUUUGGUAUUUCUUUCCUGUGCGUCUCUCUUCUUUUUCCUGCUCCCUCCGCUAAUACAAACAAAGGUAUGUAUAUAUAGUAUUUACAUUUGAAGCACCGAGACUUAUUGUCAUGACUGUGACUUACAUUGCAUUUGAAACUGAACUGUACACAACUCAAGAAGGAAACACAAAAGUUGUUUAUAUGUAAUAACAUCACUUCGCAUUCAGUCUGUUCUGAAAGAAAAUAUAAGUAAAGAAUUUCAGACUUGGAACAAGUAAAUGGAAUUUGAAGGUUGUUUUACUGACUUUAUACUUACUCCAUUUCUUUUGUGUUAUUUUUUAACAUCAGCAUCCUGCAAUAGAUUUUUUUAUUGUCAUACAUUGUUUUCUCAAAAAUUUGAGUCUGCUAUUAGAAGUUAAUAUAUUGAUUGUUAUUUGCAGUAACAUUUUUCAUGCAUGUAUAUUUAUUCUUUUGCCAUAUUUUGUAUUUGAUUUCAGAAUUUCUCACGGCUACAGCAGUCUGCAUUACGUUUAGUUGACAUGGAAAUUCCAGUAAAGAAGCAAUGUUGGAAACCUAAUGAAUUCAAAAGUUACAAUUUCUUCUUUCUAAUUCCAUUUCUAAAUUUUAGGGAAUAACUGAUCCUAUGCUUUACAUUGGAAUUUUGUUCAGUAUGUUUGCAUGGCCUGUAGAAGAUCAUUGUACAGCAUAAAUUAUCAUCACUCAGGUGAAAGUAAAACCUGGUAUGGAGUGCCUGGCUAUGAAGACUCUCAUUUUGAAAAGACUGUCUUACAACAAGUGUAUUGCAAUAUGAUCUUAACAAAACAUGGAGAUGCUGGAGCUUUCAGGUUUCUUGCACAAAAAACUUCCAUGUUCCCACCAAAUGUUAUGUUACAACAUGAUGUGGAAGUUUACAAGGCUGUACUGAAUCUAGGAAAGUUUGUCACACCUUUCCUAGAGCAUAUCAUGCUGGAUUUAGUCAUGGGAUUGUUAUGUGGCUUACCUGCUAUGCAAGUACUUCUUUUCUCAUCCAAUUUGUCUUUGCCAUGACAUUGCACCGCAUACUUGUGUAUGUGGAAGGUAUUAUUCUAUUUUCAAAAGGAAUGCUGCAAUGAAACAUUCUCAGUAUCAAGUUUAUUCUCCUGUAACAGAAAUGAAUGCAUCAAACAUCUUGAGGAUAAUCCUUGGCAGCAAGAAAAGAGUGUGAGAGGAACUGCUAAUUCUCCAGGUGCAGCAUCUAAACCGAAAACACAAGUAGCUGACUGCAUUAAGCACAGUGUUGAAAAUAAGACAAGAAUGCUGCAUUGGACAAACAAUGGGCCUCCAUCUGUGAAGGGUACCAAUAGCCCAGAAAUCAUUUAUAACUUGAGAAAAUGGAAAUCAAAUUGAUUCUAUAAAUUCCUGCAACAACUUCUGCGGGAAAACAUCCAAAAAUUGAGUCUGAAAAAGUAAAAUAAGCUAUUAACAUGUAGCGAUAUCCAAAAUAUAAGGAUAAAAAUUGGUUCAUAAGCGUUCACCAAAAUAUUGUGUUGUCAAUAUUUAAGGGAAGUGAACAAAGUCACCUCCGAGACAUGUGGGGGCAAAGCUACAAGA
This is a long non-coding RNA of Vigna unguiculata (cowpea), 2047 nucleotides long. The record is from RefSeq and is a predicted model, not a curated record. Lineage: Eukaryota; Viridiplantae; Streptophyta; Magnoliopsida; Fabales; Fabaceae.